This 2843-nucleotide long non-coding RNA is filed under the name Haliotis rubra (blacklip abalone). RNAcentral's name for it is "uncharacterized LOC124259251". Lineage: Eukaryota; Metazoa; Mollusca; Gastropoda; Lepetellida; Haliotidae. The record is from RNAcentral.
CCAAGUGGAAACUGUAAGUGGAAACUGUAAGUGAAGAGACACAGAAUGGCCUCAUAAAAUCUGUGGACAAACAGACAAGGUGUAUGAGCUACUGGAAAUAUUGUAAUGGUAUCAAGAGCUAGUAGUGUGAUACCUACUGCACUUCAGACAAACUGGCCUCUUCUCCGCCUUGCAUCUGUCAGCCAGAGUACUUGCAAACUGGACCCUGUUGUACACAGCCGACUCAGUGGUGUGACUCACUUACCAUGCUUACAGCUUACCAUAUAUUGCUGAAAACUGUCAGCCUGAAAACCAGUCUUACGGCUGAUGUCUAUUUUGAACACCUUUUGUCAGAGUGAGAUGCUGUUUCAUGUUUUGACGAAGUGAGCACAAUCUUAGUCAGUAUCAAACAGGUUUCUGUUGCACAGCUGGAGACCAAAACAAGCAUGAACUGAGUUACAGUACUUCCUGGACAUGUUGUAAGCCAGCCAUUUAAAAUCUAGUCUCCACUUUUGUGUAGAUUUUGUAUGUCAUACUUGCAUAUUUGACGGAAGUAUAACAAUAUUAUUUGUCACUACAUCGAAAACUAACCGGUCAGGCCAUGUUGACGUUGGUGUCACUGACACGAAACAAGUAGCAGCAGAUUGACAGAUAGGUGUUUAUUUUGUAGACUGUUUGUGUCUGGACCAGACAAUCCAGUGAUCAACAGCAUGAGCAUUGAUCUACACUAUUGGGAUAUGUGUCAACCAAGUCAGCGAGCCUGACCAUCCGAUCCUGUUUGUUGCCUCUUACAAGCAUGUGUUACUGAAGAUCAGUUCUAACUGUUCUAAAUGUUCAUGGGUCAGACUGUUUUUGUGAAAGUUGUGAAGAAUAACAGGUGAUGCAUUUGUUAAAGUGUCCCCUUGACAACUGCUGCUGGAAGGAGAGCAUGCAGAUCAAAUAUUUGCAAUAUCAAUUGUAGAUGAAUUUAUUUGCCGAUGUACAGUCAUGGAGAGUGUGUGCCUGGUGUUUGGGGGAAGUCCACCUGUGUCCACCUGUGUCCACCUGUGUCCCCCUCCAGUUAGGUGUGUGUCUGGUGUUGAGGUUGGGUUGUUUGGGGGAAGUCCACCUGUAUCCACCUGUGUCCACCUGUGUCCCCCUCCAGUUAGAUGUGUGUCUGGUGUUGUGGUUGGGUUGUUUGGGGGAAGUCCACUUGUGUCCACCUGUGUCCCCCUCCAGUUAGGUGUGUGUCUGGUGUUGAGGUUGGGAUGUUUGGGGGAAGUCCACCUGUGUCCACCUGUGUCCCCCUCCAGUUAGAUGUGUGUCUGGUGUUGAGGUUGGGUUGUUUGGGGGAAGUCCACCUGUGUCCACCUGUGUCCCCCUCCAGUUAGGUGUGUGUCUGGUGUUGAGGUUGGGUAGGUUGGGGGAAGUACACCUGUAUCCACCUGUGUCCCCCUCCAGUUAGGUGUGUGUCUGGUGUUGAGGUUGGGUAGUUUGGGGGAAGUACACCUGUGUGCACCUGUGUCCCCUCCAUUUAGGUGUGUGUCUGGUGUUGAGGUUGGGUAGUUUGGGGGAAGUCCACCUGUUCCCAUGUAUGUUAGCUCAACUCACUGAAAGGUGAUAGUCAAGUGAGAUGAUGUCUUAGCCUGUUUGCACAUUGUCCAUUGAACCAAUCCAUAUUUUCAAUAUGGCAGCAGGAGCAGCUAUGUCCAGUUGUGAGCUUCACUUCCGACUUUUCUUCCAUGCGAAGAUGAAUUCCGUGAUAUUAUUUAAAAUAAUAUGCAAUCCAACUCGCUCACUCUUCCUACAAGUUUUCAGGACACAGUAGAUUAUGGAGGUUAUGUUGAUAUUCACAAUUGUUAUCAUUUAAAGUUCUUUUUUGUCUUGUGUUCAUUUACAUGUGUUUGAGAGAUGUGGCAUCAUGCUGCUGCUGUAUGACCACAAAUGUUGUUGAGCCCCACUCUGUCACUCCAUAAUACUUAAGAAAGGCCAUGUAUUUGUAAUCAGUUGCUAGACAAAUUUCUCAGCCAAGUUCUUGUUUUCUGUAGUUUUUUUAUGAUUAAAGAACUUGUCUGUGCACCCUGAUAUUGUUUGAAAUUGACUCGACACUAAGCAUGGUUGCCAUUGGUUGGUACUUGUUUACCUCCGUAAGAGUGGAUAAUAAUAAUAUAAUAAUAAUAAUGCACUUGUAUAGCACCUAUUUUCCAACCGGUGGCUGCUCAGUGGUGCUUCACAAAGUUAAAAAUAUAAAUAAAUUAAACAGAGUUAUUGGUUGAAGAGAUAGGUUUUCAAGUCACAGUGGAAUGACUGGAGACUGGAGUCCGUAGAUUUGAGAGAUGUUGGAAGGCUGUUCAAAAGAGUUGGAGCCACAUAUUGAAGUUAAUCAUGAAAAGUGAGUUACCCCUUACAUCUCAUUUGGCGGAUCUCUAACAUUUAAUAGGAUAUGAAUUUGGGGGGGGCAAUUUUGUCUUCACAUUUUGGGCUUUUUAUUUUUUAUUUCAGUUUUGAUAGGCUUUGUAAGCCAGCUGAUGAAGAGUCUUUUGAUAUGGCCCCUACCUCUUCCCAGAUCAGGCCAGGGACAUUUCAGAACUCCAGACUUAGAACCUGUUUGUUUCAAUAACCAGAACUGAUUGUGAUUCAUCUCAGACUACAUACCUGUAGCUGUGCAUGUGAAUGGACACAGAUGUAUCGUAACAUGAUAUGUAAUAUUGCUCAAUUACUUGUUGAUAACAGAUCAUUUGACAGUGACCAUGGUAACACAAGCACUGUAGGAGAUAGUAGGCUAUUGUGAUGGGAGUUUCCACAGAUACUACAUCUGUCUUGUAUCAUUUUAGUAUUGACUGAAGACAAGAUCUUCUGGCAGAAAUAAACAGAGAUAAAGUUUG